This 1404-nucleotide ribosomal RNA is filed under the name uncultured bacterium. Its description in RNAcentral is "16S ribosomal RNA". It matches the Rfam family "Bacterial small subunit ribosomal RNA". The record is from RNAcentral.
AGAGUUUGAUCCUGGCUCAGGAUGAACGCUAGCGACAGGCCUAACACAUGCAAGUCGAGGGGCAGCGGGGAGGCAGCAAUGCCUCCGCCGGCGACCGGCGCACGGGUGAGUAACACGUAUGCAACCUGCCCGGCCCAGGGGAAUAAGCGGCGGAAACGCCGUCUAAUUCCGCGUACACCUCCCAGCGGGCAUCCGCGGGGAGGGAAAGGAGGCGACUCCGGGACCGGAUGGGCAUGCGGCGCAUUAGCUAGUUGGCGGGGCAACGGCCCACCAAGGCUGCGAUGCGUAGGGGUUCUGAGAGGAAGGCCCCCCACAUUGGAACUGAGACACGGUCCAAACUCCUACGGGAGGCAGCAGUGAGGAAUAUUGGUCAAUGGGCGAGAGCCUGAACCAGCCAAGUCGCGUGAGGGAAGACGGCCCUACGGGUUGUAAACCUCUUUUGCCGGGGAGCAAUGGCCGACACGCGUGUCGGCAGGGAGAGUACCCGGAGAAAAAGCAUCGGCUAACUCCGUGCCAGCAGCCGCGGUAAUACGGAGGAUGCGAGCGUUAUCCGGAUUUAUUGGGUUUAAAGGGUGCGUAGGCGGACUGGAAAGUCAGCGGUAAAAUCGAGAGGCUCAACCUCUUUCCGCCGUUGAAACUGUCGGUCUUGAGUGGGCGAGAAGUAUGCGGAAUGCGUGGUGUAGCGGUGAAAUGCAUAGAUAUCACGCAGAACUCCGAUUGCGAAGGCAGCAUACCGGCGCCCGACUGACGCUGAGGCACGAAAGCGUGGGUAUCGAACAGGAUUGGAUACCCUGGUAGUCCACGCAGUAAACGAUGAAUACUAAUUGUCCGGUCAGAAUGAUGACUGGGUGAUACAGCGAAAGCGUUAAGUAUUCCACCUGGGGAGUACGCCGGCAACGGUGAAACUCAAAGGAAUUGACGGGGGCCCGCACAAGCGGAGGAACAUGUGGUUUAAUUCGAUGAUACGCGAGGAACCUUACCCGGGCUCAAACGUAGAAUGACAGACGGUGAAAGCCGUUCUCCCUUCGGGGCAGUCUACGAGGUGCUGCAUGGUUGUCGUCAGCUCGUGCCGUGAGGUGUCGGCUUAAGUGCCAUAACGAGCGCAACCCCCAUCUACAGUUGCUAACAGGUAAAGCUGAGGACUCUGUGGAGACUGCCGGCGCAAGCUGUGAGGAAGGCGGGGAUGACGUCAAAUCAGCACGGCCCUUACGUCCGGGGCGACACACGUGUUACAAUGGCAGGUACAGCGGGAAGCCAUAUGGCGACAUAGAGCGGAACCCGAAAACCUGUCUCAGUUCGGAUUGGAGUCUGCAACUCGACUCCAUGAAGCUGGAUUCGCUAGUAAUCGCGCAUCAGCCACGGCGCGGUGAAUACGUUCCCGGGCCUUGUACACACCGCCCGUCA